UUCUCUUUUUAUAGGGAUCUGCAAUUGGGAGAGCUGAUUGUUUUUGUUCAGUGGUGGGGCAUCCGAUGAUUUAUUUUCAGACAAAUGAAGCUGUGAAUCAGAUUAGUCUGUGUUUUAAUUAUGAUAUAAUUACACAUUUUUGUAAAUUUUACCAUGUUUUUGUGUUACUGUUUUUUAGGUUGCAUGUUAACUGCAACAGAUUAAUAACACAGGUGUUGGAUGCCACAGCUAACACUGCCCUAAUGGUAAUAGACACUUACUUUUUACACAGAAAGCUUUAAGUUCGGAAAGCUGAUGGUUGGUAUGUGUGUUUUCGCUUUUAUGUAUUAAAUGUUUAAAUACCUGUUUUAAAAUAUGAAUACAUCAGUAUUCCAUUUUUGUGUUUUUAUGUUUGUUUUAUGUAUGCUGCAAUAGUCUUUAAUUUUAUCUUUUUACACAGAAAGCUUGGUGCUUCUGAGGGAUUUACCUUCCAGAUUAUGUUUACAUUAGCAAGCUGAUGGUUUGUGUGUGUCUUCUUUUUUUAUAGAUAUGUAUAAUGUAGUAUUUUAACAUGCGUUUUAUAAUAUGAAAAGAAUGUAAAGAUAGCAUUUUUUUGGUGUUUUUUAUUUUUGUUUUAUGUAUGCUGUCAUAUAAUAUAUAUAUAUAUUUUUUUGUCUUUUUUUUUACAUAGAAAGCAUGAAAUGGGCAUGCAGAUGAUCGGUAUUUGUGUACUUGCUGUCUUACUAGUAUCGAACUAAAUGGCUUAGAUAGGCUUCAGACAGGCAAGGUGAUGGUUUGUACUACUGUUUUACAGCCUCAGCUUGAUGUAUGUGUGUGUUCGGGUGUUUUCAACAAUUUCAGUCAUAUAAACGACGAAGUGAAGUUCAAGCAUACAUGACAUUGGACUAUUCUGGCUCAAAAGAACCUGGGGCACUUGUCACCAAUCCCAGAAGGAGCAAUUACUAGAGGUUGCGAAGGAUGAAGUUGAGGGUGAUAAGGACGACGAUAGUUCAAGAGCGAAAUAGUGGUUGACAUUAUAUAGAGAAUGGAGAAAAAGCAGAUUGUACACUGGUCAGAAUGAAGAUGACUUGAGAUGUUGAAGAAAAGUCCAGCUGCAAACUGUCCAAGACAUACAGUAAGGAUGUGGAUCUGUGGUAACUUAAGGUAAUGUCUCUGUGCGUUCACAGAGAGAAAUCAUUCAUUCAAAGUGAUACUGUAGAAAGAGAAAAAUGUUAAAUAACUUAAA
This is a long non-coding RNA of Mercenaria mercenaria, 1225 nucleotides long. RefSeq lists it as uncharacterized. The record is from RefSeq and is a predicted model, not a curated record. Lineage: Eukaryota; Metazoa; Mollusca; Bivalvia; Venerida; Veneridae. The transcript has 6 exons.